AAACCAGAUGAUGAAUUUGGAUUGAAAUUUCUCACGACGGUCGUCUGAGACACCUAGAAGUGUCAGUAUUGAUGUUAAAGUUCCAAUAUUACUGAUGGAU
Small nucleolar RNA from Diospyros lotus (date-plum), 100 nucleotides. RefSeq annotates it as small nucleolar RNA Z161/Z228. NCBI's taxonomy places the organism in Eukaryota, Viridiplantae, Streptophyta, Magnoliopsida, Ericales, Ebenaceae. The record is from RefSeq and is a predicted model, not a curated record. The transcript has a single exon.